AUCCAGCAGACCACGAGUCCCAAAUAGGACGAAAUGCACGUUAUCCUGGAU
This 51-nucleotide non-coding RNA is filed under the name Trichobilharzia regenti. Lineage: Eukaryota; Metazoa; Platyhelminthes; Trematoda; Strigeidida; Schistosomatidae. The record is from RNAcentral.